AUGUUUCUGUUGUCUCCUGCCAGUUUACUUCACAUUUUGAUGCAACAACAGUGUGAUUAUGUGCUCAUUUCAUUAAAACCAUUGAUGUCUGUGUUUUUUAUUGCAGAACUCAAACCAACUUUGGAGUUGUCUGAUUUGGAGAGUCAUUAUUCUUGGUCUGCGCUCUUAGAGGCCACUGAUGAAGAGCAGGCGGUGACUGGGAUGAAUGCUGGUCAGAGAGGAGAAUCUUCUUUCCCCUAAACUGAUGCAGCGGUGGUUUUAAAGGAGGACACGGCCCUGGAUGAUGUAAAAGAUGUCAGAUGCUGUGCUGAUGGGUUUUCUUCAUGAUUACAUCAGUUAUGCUAAAGAGAUCAUGAAAAUUGACCGUGAUGCAUGAUCUGUAUUCAUGGACAAUGAAACAAACUGUAAGUGUAUAAUUUGUUAAAAAAAAAGUUAAAUGCUUUUUCUGUGUUGUUUAGUAGAAAAGUUUACACUCUGUCAUUCAUACACCUGCUCACAUUCUUUCACACACACACACACACACACGCACGCGCGUCUGUUAAAGGUUAUAAUAUCAAAGUUAAUGUUGUGAUUUAUUUGUGUACUGUCAUGCCAGAAUAGUUGGAAAAAAAACUAAUUGUAAAUUUAUUGUAGGUGUUUUCGUAUAUUUUUAUACAAUAUAUACAAUUGAACAAAGUCCAAUUUGAUCUUAAGUUAUAUUCAUCAAAUGUUCAAUGCUUUGUUUAUGAACUCUGUAGCUGUUAAUGCCAUCCUUUUCUGCAUUUCUUCUAACAUGUUACUUUUUGACUUUUCUCUUGUUUUUAAUAAAUAUUUUCCUUUUGGUAAUUAUUAUUUGUGUGUAAAAGUGAUAUUUAAAAUGAACAACAUUUGUAGGUUUAAUGCCUAGCUCAAUUUGGGUUAAUUUUAACGUAGAAAUGCAUUGUUUCCCCACAUGGCUGCACUCUGCGAGUUUAUUUUCUGCCAGCAGGAGGCGCUAAGAGCGGGAGAGGUAGGUUUCUCCGGUAACGGCUGCAGAGCGGUGCUGAGCUCACAAACGCUGCCUUAUCAAGCACAUGCGAAAUGAUAUUGAACAUUUUCUAAAUACAGUAGUUUUCCUUCUGAAAUACAGUGAUAAAAAAAAAACACCCGCUCUGUUUUUUUAAACCCUGCAAUAUAGUCAUUUUAAACCAUAAAAAAGGCAACCCAGCAGGCUGGGUUAAAUAUGAUAACCCAACUGGUUGGGUUAAAACAACCCAGCGCUGGGUUCGUCCCUUUUUGACCCAGCGCUGGGUUGUCAAAAUAACCCAAAUUGGGUUGUUUUCAACCCAGCAGUUUUUAGAGUGUAUGGGGACCUUGGAAUAAGAAUAAAAGAGACUAAUAUUAACGUAGAUGCCAUUCUUCUUAUGAUGUAGCAAGUAGCAUAGGGUGUUAUGGGAAGUGUUCCAGGUUCCGGUUUACCUAAUUAAUGCAACCUAAAAAUCCUUAAACAGAUUUGGAUUAUAGAAAUUUGAUGGUUUAUUUAGUGUAUUCCAAAUUAUAGGUCUUUAAUCUAGAUCUAAACUGACAGAGUGUGUCUGCCUCCCAACAACGCUAGGUAGAUUGUUCCAGAGUUUGGGCUCUAAUUAGGAAAAGGAUCUUCCUCCCACAGUUUAUUUUGAUAUUCUAGGUAUUGUCAAAUUGCCAGAGUUUUGAGAUUGCAGCAGACGUGAAGGACUAUAAUGUGAUAUGAACUCACUCAAGUAUUGAGGAGCUAAACCAUUCAGGGCUUCAUAAAUAUUUAGCAAGAUUUUAAAAUGUUUUCGUUGUACAUUAGGGAGCCAGUCCAGAGGUGACAGAACCGGGUUAAUAUGGUCAUAUGGUUCUAGUAACAACUCUAGCUGUUGCAUUUUUAACCAGCAGGAGUUUGUUUAUUGAGCGCACAGGGCAACCACCCAAUAAAGCAUUACAAUAAUCUAAUUUACUUUGAUGUGUUGACUUACAUACUAAAGCAUACAAUAUGUUAAGAACUUGUUUAUAUUUUUAACUGUAGUGUGUUAUUU
This is a long non-coding RNA of Carassius auratus (goldfish), 2018 nucleotides long. Lineage: Eukaryota; Metazoa; Chordata; Actinopteri; Cypriniformes; Cyprinidae. The record is from Ensembl.